CACCAAUGUUGUCAGAGCAAAGUUUAAAGAAAUUAAGAAAUGUUUUUUUCUUCAAAUACUUUUACCUUUCAAACAUUUUGGAAUGUGUUGCCAGGAAAUUUGACCUUCCUACAUUGAAUAUAAAGGUCUUUGAUGACUUAAAGACAGAGGUUGAUGAGGAAAACAAGGAUCUACAGAUCAUCAACUUGGCCAAAUGAUUGAGGGUAUUCUUAAGAACAGCCCUGGAGGAGAGAAGAUCAUAAAUUUAUACUUUCGUACCAAAAGUCUGUCAGAUAGCCGGAGACAUGACUUGGUCAAAAUAUUAAUUGCACAUUUGACAAAUGAACAUGGAACAAGUCCUUCCCGACGUUUGAAGAAAGAAUAUGCAAACCUGAGGAGCAGGCUUGGUUACGAACAUUACUACAAUCCAGAAGAUGGAAGUGGACACCUGGCUUGGAGGAUUAAAACGCUGCAGAAAGAUGCAUCUGACGGGAGGCUGAAAAGGCCACGAUAACACAAACAGGCUGAGACAGUGAUUUGUCAAUCCUGAUACUGGUUCAUCUUUUGCUACCCUCCAGCCAAGGCCGCAAAAGACCAGGAAAAAUCUCAGCUGGACAUACAUGUGAUUGCCUUGUGACAUUUGUCAAGACAGUUACCAGUAUUCAAGGGCACUUGGAUCGCAUCAGAGAGGGUCUCCAGCCAUAUCUGGUGUUUACUGCUCUACCUGCCCAUCAUGUUUGGAGAUCUUGUAUGUACUAAUGAUCAUCACUGGUAUUUGUUAAUUUUAUUGCUUCAGAUUGUCAACAUGAUGUUUUCUACCGUUAUAUCCAAUGGAAUCACCAUUUAUUUGAAGCAUUUGAUUAUGGACCACCUCAGUUUAUUUAAGCAUUUGUUUCCUGAAAAUGAUACUUUGUUGCCAAAGCAUAAUUUUAUGGUGCAUUAGUCCAGUUGUAUGCAGAAAAUUUGACAACUGUUACAGGAAAGCAUAUGUUUUCAAAAUGCAGCUAAAAAUCUUUAAAAACAAAUACUUUGUCAAAGAAAAACCAGUGCCAAAUGGCUUAUAUUUGGCAAACAUUUGUUCCGAAUGAAAUGAAAUUAGGUCCUGGUAGGGUUGUCACAAUACUGGAAUUCGGUACCAAUUUAUACUGAAGUUUUAAAGACGUCCAUUUCCCCGAUAACAUUUGAGCGCUGAUUUGUCAUUGUGUUCAGUUGCUCAACAGAAAUGAGUAUUGGCGGUGAAGCUAAUCAGUUCACCAAACCCACCGCUGUUUACUGAGUGAAACCACAGAUACAGGGAUACUGGAGUGUUUUAAAGUCACGUCGAUCAGCUUGUUUGUCUAUAAGCUGACAUAUGAGCGGUGCACUGAUGAAUUGUGGCUUUAAAACGCUCCAAUGUCCCUGUGUCUGUGGUUACA
Danio aesculapii is the source of this 1394-nucleotide long non-coding RNA. RefSeq lists it as uncharacterized. The transcript is spliced from 7 exons. Lineage: Eukaryota; Metazoa; Chordata; Actinopteri; Cypriniformes; Danionidae. The record is from RefSeq and is a predicted model, not a curated record.